AUACGCUGGCGGCGUGCUAACACAUGCAACGUCGAGCGAGGACUUCGGUCCUAGCGGCGGACGGGUGAGUAACGCGUGGGUAUCUGCCUCAUACACACGGAUAACGUACCGAAAGGUACGCUAAUACGGGAUAAAGUUAAGAAAUGGCAUCAUUUCUUAAUCAAAGAAAUUCGGUAUGAGAUGAGCCCGCGUCCCAUUAGCUAGUUGGUAAGGUAAAAGCUUACCAAGGCGACGAUGGGUAGCCGACCUGAGAGGGUGAUCGGCCACACUGGAACUGAGACACGGUCCAGACUCCUACGGGAGGCAGCAGUGGGGAAUAUUGCACAAUGGGCGAAAGCCUGAUGCAGCAACGCCGCGUGAGCGAUGAAGGUCUUCGGAUCGUAAAGCUCUGUCCUCAAGGAAGAAUAUUGACGGUACUUGAGGAGGAAGCCCCGGCUAACUAACGUGCCAGCAGCCGCGGUAAUACGUAAGGGGCUAGCGUUAUCCGGAAUUACUGGGCGUAAAGGGUGCGUAGGCAGUCUUGCAAGUCAGAGGUGAAAGGCUACAGCUCAACCGAAAAGACUAAAACUU
This 570-nucleotide ribosomal RNA is filed under the name uncultured bacterium. Its description in RNAcentral is "bacterial SSU rRNA". It matches the Rfam family "Bacterial small subunit ribosomal RNA", at positions 31 to 635 of the family's 1533-position model. The record is from RNAcentral.